This 468-nucleotide ribosomal RNA is filed under the name uncultured bacterium. RNAcentral's name for it is "partial 16S ribosomal RNA". It matches the Rfam family "Bacterial small subunit ribosomal RNA", at positions 28 to 507 of the family's 1533-position model. The record is from RNAcentral.
GACGAACGCUGGCGGCGUGCCUAACACAUGCAAGUCGAACGGAAAGGCCCUGCUUUUGUGGGGUUCUCGAGUGGCGAACGGGUGAGUAACACGUGAGUAACCUGCCCUUGACUUUGGGAUAACUUCAGGAAACUGGGGCUAAUAUCGGAUAGGAGCUCCUGCUGCAUGGUGGGGGUUGGAAAGUUUCGGCGGUUGGGGAUGGUCUCGCUGCUUAUCAGCUUGUUGGUGGGGUAGUGGCUUACCAAGGCUUCGACGGGUAGCCGGCCUGGGAGGGUGAACGGCCACAUUGGGACUGAGAGAGGGCCCAGACGCCUACGGGAGGCAGCAGUGGGGAGUAUUGCACAGUGGGGGGAAGCGUGAUGCGGCAACGCCGCGUGCGGGAUGACGGGUUUCGAGUUGUGAACCGCUUUCGACUGAGACAAGGCGUGAGUGACGGUAAUGGGUAAAGAAGCACCGGCUAACUACGUG